This 253-nucleotide ribosomal RNA is filed under the name uncultured bacterium. RNAcentral describes it as "partial 16S ribosomal RNA". It matches the Rfam family "Bacterial small subunit ribosomal RNA", at positions 524 to 776 of the family's 1533-position model. The record is from RNAcentral.
UACGUAGGGGGCUAGCGUUGUCCGGAAUCAUUGGGCGUAAAGCGCGUGUAGGCGGUCCGGUAAGUCCGCUGUGAAAGUCGGGGGCUCAACCCUCGGAUGCCGGUGGAUACUGUCGGGCUUGAGUACGGAAGAGGCGAGUGGAAUUCCUGGUGUAGCGGUGAAAUGCGCAGAUAUCAGGAGGAACACCCGUGGCGAAAGCGGCGCGCUGGACCACUACUGACGCUGAGGAACGAAAGCUAGGGGAGCAAACAGG